RNAcentral lists this ribosomal RNA (468 nucleotides) under uncultured bacterium. Its description in RNAcentral is "partial 16S ribosomal RNA". It matches the Rfam family "Bacterial small subunit ribosomal RNA", at positions 28 to 507 of the family's 1533-position model. The record is from RNAcentral.
GACGAACGCUGGCGGCGCGCCUAACACAUGCAAGUCGAACGGAGCUGAGAGAAGCUUGCUUUUCUUAGCUUAGUGGCGAACGGGUGAGUAACGCGUGAGUAACCUGCCCUGGAGUGGGGGACAACAGUUGGAAACGACUGCUAAUCCCGCAUAAGCCCACGGCCCGGCAUCGGGCUGAGGGAAAAGGGUUUAUUCGCUUCAGGAUGGACUCGCGUCCAAUUAGCUAGUUGGUGAGGUAACGGCCCACCAAGGCGACGAUUGGUAGCCGGACUGAGAGGUUGAACGGCCACAUUGGGACUGAGACACGGCCCAGACUCCUACGGGAGGCAGCAGUGGGGGAUAUUGCACAAUGGGGGAAACCCUGAUGCAGCGACGCCGCGUGGAGGAAGAAGGUUUUCGGAUUGUAAACUCCUGUCGUUAGGGACGAUAAUGACGGUACCUAACAAGAAAGCACCGGCUAACUACGUG